GGGGGCGUCACGGCUUCGACGGAGAUGCUUGCGGCCAAGAGGCAUGCCGGGGUGCACACACCCGUAAUCGCGUGCACAAUGAUAAUUGCCAAUCAAGAAAUGGCAUACGCUGCUUAAUUGAUUUAAGUAGCCGUCCGAGGAGGUUUCGCCCGUGGGCCUCCGAAGGGCGUCGCACAGCGGGCUGGUUGUGAAGGCUACGUCUGGGCUUUCGCGACGAGAUCUUCAGGCUAGCGGAUCGCGUUUCUUGUCCGUUCUGAGCGCGCGCCGCGAACGUCCUGGGGUUAAGCGGAAACGCUUGAUGCCGAGGGCCGCGAACGUGACUACGCAUGUAGUCUCUUGACCAGUAACAUUUUCGGACGCGGGUUCAACUCCCGCCGCCUCCACCA
Molecule: transfer-messenger RNA, 386 nt
Filed under: Terriglobales
Lineage: Bacteria; Pseudomonadati; Acidobacteriota; Terriglobia
Also listed under: 2 other names
Description: QIAA01 sp003224905 Standard tmRNA
Rfam family: transfer-messenger RNA
About the family: Bacterial tmRNA, also known as 10Sa RNA or SsrA, is named for its dual tRNA and mRNA-like properties. Its role is to liberate the mRNA from a stalled ribosome.
Source: RNAcentral